AUGGAGGUGAGCGGCUCGCCGCAGGACCUCGGCGACAGCUUCUCCUACGGCUGGCUCAGCCAGGCGCCGCCCUCCAUGGACCGCCUCGCCGCCGACGUGGCCCUCUACUCCUUCGGCGGCUCCAGGUCCUCCUUCAUCGACAUGGAGGACCCCUCCGAGCUCUUCUCCAUGCGGUGGACCACGCCGACGGCGAGCGACUUUGACUUCGGCCUCCCGGCGCCGGCCGACGGCGGGGCCGCGUCCCCGGCGCACCUGGUCAGCGCCAGCCAGAUCUUCCGCGGCGGCCGGCUCCUCCCCUGCGAGCCCGGCGGCUGCUCCUACGCGACCGCACGGCAGGACGCCGACGGCUCGGUGGCCCGUCGCGCCGCGGAAGCCGUGCCGCGGCUGUCGCCCCCGUCGUCGCCGCUGUUCCACUCGGCGCAGAGCACGCCGCUGUCGCUGAGCGCGUGCUCCAGCGCGACGGGCAAGCACGCCGGGCAGCGCCCGAUGACGAGGCGGCGCGGCGGGUCGUCGCCGUGGAAGGUGCUGCUGAGGUACGUGCGGUUCCUGAUGCCGCUGUACCGGAAGGCGAGGGCGAGGCGCGCGGACAGACGGGUGGCGCCGGCGGGGAGCCCCUCGCGCGGGUCCACGUCGAGCGCCGUCGAGUGGUGCCACGGCAAUGCCGACACGGCCGUCCACGACGCCAUCCUCUACUGCAAGAAGUCCAGCGGAAAAGAUGCGCUGCCAUGA
RNAcentral lists this ribosomal RNA (729 nucleotides) under Triticum aestivum (bread wheat). Its description in RNAcentral is "partial small subunit ribosomal RNA". The record is from RNAcentral. Lineage: Eukaryota; Viridiplantae; Streptophyta; Magnoliopsida; Poales; Poaceae.